GGACUGGGACGUGUGGGCUCUUCCUCAGUCCCAGAGAGGAAGAUUUUUAGAACUCAGUCUGAGGGCUCAGCCGUCUUUGGGGCAUUUGAGUUUUUUGAUUUUGGCUGUGCCCCUUUCUGUUUUCUGGGGACUGGGCUCAGAUUCACCUUGGGCUUUUUCAGUAGGUCUCCUACCAUCGAUGCAGGGAUGGUGGCAGGGAAACCUGGCCAAGGGGUUAAGGGCACACCUGACUGCCACCCAUCUAUCUCUACAAGGUGCAGGCAGAGAUUAGGAAGUCAUGGAGCCGCUGGACACUGGCGUUGGACUUCAAGCGCAAAGCACGAAGUGGGAGUAGCAGCUACAGCUAUGGCCCAAUGGUGUCUCACACGAGUGUGACCAAUGUGGGCCCCCGUGCAGGACUCAGCCUCCCCCUCAGCCCCCGCCUGCCUCCUGCCACUACCAAUGGCCACUCCCAGCUGCCUGGCCAUGCCAAGCCAGGGGCUCCAGCCACUGAGACUGAAACCCUACCAGUCACUAUGGCGGUUCCCAAGGACGAUGGAUUCCUUAACGGCUCCUGCUCAGGCCUGGAUGAGGAGGCCUCCGGGUCUGCGCGGCCGCCUCCAUUGUUGCAGGAAGAAUGG
Molecule: long non-coding RNA, 620 nt
Filed under: Rattus norvegicus (Norway rat)
Lineage: Eukaryota; Metazoa; Chordata; Mammalia; Rodentia; Muridae
Description: long non-coding RNA NONRATT029027
Source: RNAcentral